Molecule: RNA transcript, 6368 nt
Organism: Peromyscus californicus insignis
Lineage: Eukaryota; Metazoa; Chordata; Mammalia; Rodentia; Cricetidae
Gene: Ift81
Gene name: intraflagellar transport 81
Exons: 20
Source: RefSeq, a predicted model, not a curated record
CAACGGAUUCCUGUCUUUAAAAAAGUUUUUUUUUUUCUUUUUAAUUGGCACAUAUUAGUUAUGCAUAAUGGGUGCCAUUAUGCUGUCCUCAUACAUGCAUAGAGUGUAUUUUGAUCAUUCCACUCCGAUUUCUCUCUUAGGACCACCUUCCCACUCCCACUGAUUCCCCUUCCAUUUCCCAGCUCAUCUCCCUUCGACUUUUUUUUUGGUUUUUUGAGACAGAGUUUCUCUGUGUAGCUUUGCGCCUUUUCUGGAACUCACUCUGUAGUCCAGGCUGGCCUUGAACUCACAGAGAUCCUCCUGCCUCUGCCUCCCGAGUGCUGGGAUUAAAGGCGUGCGCCACCACCGCCAGCUCCCUUCGACUUUAAUGCCCCUCUCCCUUCCUUUUUGGUGGCCCAAUGAGUUUCCUUAUGGUUUCUUUCAGAAGCGUGGAUUACUUAUCAGUGGCACGCCACUGAAGAAAACGCCUUUCCCUCUCCUAGCAACCAUUACCUGCCUGUAAAUACUCCUAGAAAUACUCCCUAGAACCCCGCUUGUAUUCUCUCUUCUUAGCAAUGUAUUACUCGUUUAUCCAGAUAUUUGGUUUAAUUUUGUGUUUUUGAAAGAGAAAGAAAAAAGACCUACUGAUAAUUUCUAAAUUUUUUUUUUUUUUAAUUUAUUUCUUAUGUAUACAGCAUGUAUGACUGCAGGUCAGAAGAGGGCACCAGAUCUCAUUACAGAUGGUUGUGAGCCACCAUGUGGAUGCUGGGAAUUGAACUCAGGACCUUUGGAAGAGCAGCCAGUGCUCUCAACCCCUGAGCCAUCUCUGUAGCCCCCUCUAAAUUGUUUUAAAUUAAAUAUAUGUGGAUACUAUGUGGAUACGAAAAUGUGUAUUAAUAUAUUUUUAUAUUUGAAAACUUGCACCUCCACAGUUUUAAAAAAAUAAAGAUAAUUCCUUUGAUUUAUUUAUUUUUGGCUUGUUUUUGAAAGAGGGCUUCUCUUUGUGGCCCUGGCUGUCCAGGAAAUCACUCUGUAGACCAAGCUGGCCUCGAACUCAGAGAUCUGCCUGCUUCUGCCUCCUAGUAUUGAGAUUAAAGUCUCACACUACUAUCCCUGGCUAAGAUAUUCUUUUGGUAUAAGCUUAAAAGAAACCUUAAAUUUAGAAGCUAUUCUGGUUAUGUCACUUUUUUUGUUUUAUUUUCCUUUUUACUAUUUUAUUUAUUUACUCAUAAUUUUAUUAUUAUGAAAUAGUAAUAUCUUUAGUUUUUUUUUUUUUAAUGUCUUCUAAAUGUAAGCUUCACCCACCCAAUUAUGGAACCCAUUUCAUGCCAAGCUUGGUGGCCCUUGAUUUUAAUCCGAGCACUCAGGAGGUAGUGGCCUGGUCUACAUAGUGAGUCCCAGGCUAGCCAGGGCUACACAUGGAGAUGUUUCAAAAGGAAAAAAAAACAUUUUUUUUCUGUUUUAGAGUAAGAUGCUUAUGUCCUCACUGUAUGUCUUGAGUGAAAUAGUAUCUAUUUCAUAGUUUUAACUGAGAAAGCAUUGAGAUAACCUUUUCUUCCUUUGUCUCAUCUUUUCUAGUUUAAUAGAGUCUUAUGUAGCCCAGGCUGGCCUCAAACUCUGGCUCCUUCUUUCUCAGCUUCUCCAGUCCUGGGGUUACAGUUGUGUGGCUUCAGACACAGGAGUAGCAGUUCAGCUUUGUGGUGGUUUUGACAAGGUCUCAAGUGGCCCAGGCUGCUUUUAACUCACUAAGUAGCCAAGCAUCACCUUGCACUUCUGAUCAUCCUGCUUCUGUGUGCAGCCACAUCCAGUUUAUUCAGGGCUGGGAAAUCGAACCCAGGGCUUCCUACAUUUUAGGCAAGCCCUCUACCAACCAAGCUACAUCCCCAGCCCAGCAGUUCAUUUUAGUAAAGCAAUUUCCCUUGGUAAAACAUAAAGCCUUUUCAGCGGUUGAAUCAGAUAUGCUAUUUUUAAUUAAAAAUUUAAAAAUUAAUUUAAAAAUAUUUAUUUAUUUUAGGUGUAUGUUUUGCCUGCAUGUAUGUAUGUGUACCACAUGCAUGCCUGAUGCCCGUGAUGUUUAAAAAGAGGAUGUUAGAUUCCCUGGAAAUGAAGUUAGGGAUGGUUGUGAGUCACAAUGUGGGUGCCGGGUACCAAACCCCCAGUCUUCUGCAAGAGCGACCAGUGUCCUUAACUGCUGAGCACUCUCUCCAGUCCCAGAUACUCAGUUUUUUAAGGUUAUUGUUUUUUUCAUAACAACCUUAUUUCCUUUAGACUUUGGCUUCUGUGUUUUUUAUUUGUUUUGAUUUUUGGCUUGAGGCCUAUGACCAAGUUCAUUCAGCCUAGUAGAACUCACUGUUUUCAGCUCAAUGUGUAUUCAAAAUGGAGUUGGAUAGAUUGCUCGUGGAAUGUACAGUUUUGCAAAGCAAGAAAUAAUGUGCACCUAAGAAGCUAGAACAAGAAAAAAAGUAGACUAAGGAAAGCAGUGUGGACGGUGUGGUGGGGGUGGAGGGCAGGCCCUGUUCCUUUGCCAGGGAACUUAAGGGUUUCCUGAGAAAACUUGCACCUGAGCAGGGCCUGGAUGGUGUGAGAUUUACACCUCCAAACAAGGGUAGAGGAGGCAGAAAAAGUAGGUGAAUCAGGGAGCAUGACUGGGCUGGUUUCAGAGGAAAGGUUGAGCUGGAUCACAAAGGUCAUAAGAUGUCAGAGUUAGCCUUUUUUUUUUUGGAGCUGAGAUCUGAACCCAGGGCCUUGCGCUUGCUAGGCAAGCACUCUACCACUGAGCUAAAUCCCCAACUCCCCUUUAUUUUAUAAGAAGCAAGAAGCUUACAAGUGAUUUGGGAUGGGAGGUGGAGGCCAGAAAGCCUGAACGUUUCCUCACUGAAGGGAAAAGGAAGCCAAGGCCUGAGUUGCUCAGAGUUGAGGUCUCCCAGGCUAAUCCAGUAAUAGAGAUGGGUGGAGAGUGUUUGGCAGAGACCUAAACAGCCCUAAAGGAUAUGCCUGGGCUGAAGUGUGUGGGCCCUUCUUGCAUUCUGUGCUUGAGGCUAAGCACAGAUAUGGGCUCCGGGUUGCCAGAUCUGAUUUUCAAAAGGAACAAGAUCUGGAUUGUACCAUAAAAAUCUGAUGUUUUAAGUGUGAGUUACCAAUUAAAAAAAAAGCUUGUCUGUAGUUCUGCCUUUAACCCAGGUUUGUAAAAACUUUGUGGCUAUAUUGAAGAGACUUCAAUAUAGGGUACCUUAUUCAUUUGCCUGUGUUCAGGUGAUUGCUGCCAGAGUGGAUGGAUGUACAAAAGCAGUCCAUAGUGAAUAUUAACAGCAUAAACAGAUUGCAUAAUAAAGUUUCAUACUCUGAUUUCUUCCAACAAAACUGGUCUUUUCACAGCAUUCUAUAUGCCAUGCAGACAUAUACCUCUCUGCCUACUUCCUAUGAUCUUAAUUCUGAUUUUCUCUCAACACUUUCUUUAGCUAUCAAGAUUGAGGACUCCUCCUCCUCAUUUUUUUUUUCCUCUUUAGUUUUAAGCUAUAAGACUUAAUCAUGAGUGACCAAAUCAAAUUCAUCGUGGACAGCCUCAAUAAGGAGCCUUUUAAGAAGAACUAUAAUUUAAUCACAUUUGAUUCUCUGGGACCAAUGCAACUAUUACAAGUUCUCAAUGAUGUUCUGGCUGAGAUCGACCCCAAGCAAGAUGUUGAUAUCAGAGAGGAGAUGCCAGAGCAGACAGCCAAACGGAUGUUGAACCUGCUUGGUAUCCUUAAAUACAAACCUCCCGGAAAUGCCACAGACAUGAGUACUUUUCGUCAGGGCCUGGUGAUCGGGAGUAAGCCUGUCAUUUACCCAGUGCUGCACUGGCUCCUUCAGAGGAGCAAUGAACUGAAGAAGAGGGCAUACUUAGCUCGUUUUCUAAUAAAACUGGAUGUGCCGAGUGAGUUCCUACAGGAUGAGACUGUGGCCGACACCAAUAAACAGUAUGAAGAGCUGAUGGAAGCCUUUAAAACUCUGCAUAAAGAAUGUGAGCAGCUCAAAACAUCUGGAUUUUCUACAGCAGAAAUAAGAAGGGACAUCAGCGCAAUGGAAGAGGAAAAAGACCAGCUCAUGAAGAGAGUUGAACGCUUGAAGAAAAGGGUGGAGACUGUUCAGAAUCAUCAGCGGAUGCUUAAAAUAGCAAGACAGCUUCGGGUUGAGAAGGAGAGAGAAGAGUUUCUUGCACAACAGAAACAGGAACAGAAGAAUCAGCUGUUUCACGCGGUGCAGAGAUUGCAAAGAGUGCAAAACCAGCUGAAAAGUAUGCGGCAUGCUGCAGCGGACGCAAAACCUGAAAGUUUAAUGAAGAGGCUAGAGGAGGAGAUAAAAUUUAAUUCAUAUAUGGUCACUGAAAAAUUCCCGAAAGAAUUAGAAAGCAAGAAAAAGGAAUUACAUUUUUUACAAAAAGUGGUUUCUGAGCCAGCUAUGGGCCAAUCUGACCUUCUCGAACUGGAGUCUAAAGUCAAUGAAGUAAACACGGAGAUCAACCAGUUGAUUGAGAAGAAAAUGAUGAGAAAUGAGCCGAUCGAAGGCAAGCUCUCACUGUAUCGGCAGCAGGCAUCCAUCAUUUCUCGUAAAAAAGAAGCCAAAGCCGAGGAACUUCAGGAGACCAAGGAGAAGUUAGCCAGCCUAGAGAGAGAAGUGUCGGUGAAGACCAACCAGACCCGGGAAUUUGAUGGCGCUGAGGUUCUGAAGGGAGACGAGUUCAAGAGAUACGUCAGUAAACUUCGAAGCAAGAGUACAGUUUUCAAAAAGAAGCAUCAGAUAAUAGCUGAAUUUAAGGCUGAAUUUGGUCUCUUGCAAAGGACAGAAGAGCUUCUUAAGCAACGUCAGGAAACCAUUCAGCAUCAACUGCGAACUAUUGAAGAGAAGAAGGGUGUAUCUGGGUACAGUUACACCCAAGAAGAGCUGGAAAGGGUGUCCGCCCUCAAGAGUGAGGUUGAUGAGAUGAAAGGCCGAACCCUGGACGACAUGUCUGAAAUGGUGAAAAAACUGAAUUCCCUGGUGUCGGAAAAGAAGUCAGCUCUGGCCCCAGUCAUAAAAGAACUCCGACAGUUGCGGGAGAAAGGCCAGGAACUGACCCAGGAGUGUGACGAGAAGAAAGCCCAGUAUGACAGCUGCGCAGCAGGCCUUGAAAGCAACCGGUCCAAAUUAGAACAGGAAGUGCGAGCGCUCCGUGAAGAAUGUAUUCAGGAGGAAAGUAAAUACCAUUAUACGAACUGUGUGAUUAAGAACCUGGAAGUUCAGCUUCGUCGGGCGACUGAUGAGAUGAAGGCGUACGUCUCUUCCGAUCAACAGGAAAAGAGGAAAGCAGUCAGAAGCCAUAUAUGGUGGUGUGUACCUGUAAGCCCGGUGCUGGGGAGCCUGAGACAGACGGACUAGCAAGUUGAGACCGGUGUGGGCUACGUGGCAAGACCAUGUCUCAAAAACAAUAAACCAACGCCCCCCCCACAAAGGAACAGAAUCCCCGAGGAUGCCUGUGUAGCUCUGGGUGUGCUGAAGACCACACAACACGUGUGCACAUUAACAACCGCUUUCAAGGGUAGCUGGGGCACUCGGAUGUAGCCUUGAACCCACUGAGACCUUCAGCCGUUCCUCUUUCCUCUGCCUCCCGAGUGCUUAGAUGACAGGCAUGUUGAUCACCAUACCUGGUUUCCGUGGUGCUGGAGAUGCGACCUGGGACUUCCUGCAUGCUAGAAUCAUUUCCUAGAAGUGAAAUGACUGAAUCAUCCUCCUUACGUAUCACCAAGUGGCUUUCCAGAAAGCCAAAGCUCUCCCACUCCUGCUUGCGGAGGAGAUGGCCCUCUUGAGAAGCACGCCCGCCCGUUUGACAAGGUCCAACAUCGUAGACUGGUUCUAAACUCAUUAAGUGUCCGAGGACGACCUUGAACUCUCGAUUGCUUCCACGUCUGCGUGCAGCGAUCACAGGCGGACAUCACAUCACACCUGACUCAGUAUGACCUCUUUAUACUGGCAAAAUUACAUUUCGUGCUAGGCGCUGAUCAGACCUCUCCGACACAGCAGAUGAUUUGUGGUUUAAGAAUAGGUUUGAGACUGAAAGCUCCUUCUCUCCCAUUGGGGGAAGUGGACGUCUGUAUGGCAGCCUUCAUUUUAAAGCCAAAGUCAAGCACCUUGCAGACGCAGAGCUGCUCCAGCAUAACCUGUGACUUCUAUGCAGACGUGUGUCAAAGGCUGUGUGGGCUCCUAAAAACGAAGUAAAACUUCCUCCUUCCUCCCGCAAGAGUGGGAUUCCCUGUCGGGGUACAGAACCCGCAGGGGAAGGAAGGGCUGGUGUUGGCGUGCGAUGGAGAUGGGGCUCUCGGCCGGGGGUGUGGGAUGCGGUGUUCCCGAGGCGACAGCUGAGCGAUUUUUGGCUG